Molecule: transfer RNA, 86 nt
Filed under: Phyllagathis hainanensis
Lineage: Eukaryota; Viridiplantae; Streptophyta; Magnoliopsida; Myrtales; Melastomataceae
Description: tRNA-Tyr
Rfam family: tRNA
About the family: Transfer RNA (tRNA) molecules are approximately 80 nucleotides in length. Their secondary structure includes four short double-helical elements and three loops (D, anti-codon, and T loops). Further hydrogen bonds mediate the characteristic L-shaped molecular structure. tRNAs have two regions of fundamental functional importance: the anti-codon, which is responsible for specific mRNA codon recognition, and the 3' end, to which the tRNAs corresponding amino acid is attached (by aminoacyl-tRNA synthetases). tRNAs cope with the degeneracy of the genetic code in two manners: having more than one tRNA (with a specific anti-codon) for a particular amino acid; and 'wobble' base-pairing, i.e. permitting non-standard base-pairing at the 3rd anti-codon position.
Source: RNAcentral
GGGUCGAUGCCCGAGCGCGGUUAAUGGGGACGGACUGUAAAUUCGUUGGCAAUAUGUCUACGCUGGUUCAAAUCCAGCUCGGCCCA